ACGGCAGUUCGCUUUGCUGUGCCUCGGUUGAGGGGGAGGGUGGGGUGGGGGGAAGUACAGUGGCCUGUGUCUGAAAGGGGAGGACGGAAGGGAUAUCUGCAGGCUUUACACCAGCUGCGGGCCACCGAGUUGGAGCAGAGAAAUCAGAGACCUAGGCCACUGUGGGUUCCCUCUGUCUGUCUCAUGCUUGGUGCGCUGUCUGUUCUUCAUCCUUCCAGGUCCAAGCAGGUGACCUGUCACUUACCCUUGUGACCCAGGUAGGCAGAAUGUGUGACAACAGAAUGUGCUGCGGAGGGGUGUGUGUGUGUGUGUGUGUGUAUAAAGCCUGGCAGAGCGAAUACUCGAAUGCAUCUGUUCUUAUAAGUACCGUCGUCUCUUGGCAUCCAUAGGAGAUUGGUUCCAGGAGCCCCACAAAUACCAAGGUCCACAGACGUUUGAGUCCUUUAUGUGACACAGCAUAGUUACGACUGACCUACACACAUCCCCCACACACUCCAGACAGGUCCAGACAGGUCUAGAGCACGGUGCCUGCUAUAAUGGAAAUGCUCUGUGAAGAGCUACACUGGAUUUAGGAGAUGAUGACAGGAAAAAAGUCUGAAUACGUUCAGUACAGGCACAAUUUUCUUUUUUCAUACCAGAUAUAAGCUCAGGAGCACUUAACCACUGAGCCACAUCCCUGGCCCUUUUUAUUUUUUAUUUUUGAGAAAGGGUCUUGCUCCCUUGCUAGGGCCUUACUAAAUUGCUGAUGCUUGCCCUUGAAUUUGGGAUCCUCUUGCCUCAGCCUCCUGAGUCACUGGGAUUACAGGUACUGUGUCUGGCUGGCACCAUUAAAAAAAUUUUUUUUAGAUCUGCUGUUGGUUGAGUCUUCAGAUGCAGAACCCGUGGAUGCACAGGCUGGCUGGACAAUGAUGAGGAUGAAGAUGAGUGGGGGGGCUGGGCUGGACUCAGCGGUGCGGUGCUUGGGCAGCAUGGGCCAGGCCGGUGUGCAAUCCCGAGCACUUAGCACAGAGACAAUCCAGUCAACUCUCUCCUCAUCUGAUCCCAGGAUCUGGUAAAGGCUCCCAGCAGUCUCCCAGCUUUCUCCUGAUCAGCGUUCAACAGUGAUUCUUUGUGGAGAGUUUGCUAGUUCUGGGUGCCAAUACUCUCUCCCACUAUGGCUGUUUCAGAGUUGGAAGAGGUGGGUGAGGUCAGGCCUGUCCACUGGUGCCCCAGGCUCCCUGUACCUCCCACAGAGCACACCCCCAGCACAACUGCCUUCAAUUCUAAAAACACUGAGAGCUGUCCAGAAUGGAAGCUGCCUUCCAUGUUUAGGGCACGAAGACUCCAUUUCCGGUGCACAAAGCUAAAGCGCAGCACUUCUAAGCCUUUACCAAGAAACAGAGCAAGGAGCUGCAGCCUGCUUGGUGCCGGGAUGAGAUCUUGACUUAAGAGGAAGGUGCUCUGAGCGGCAGAUGGACGGGCUCCAGGUAAUCCAGGGUGUGCCCUGGUUGACGCCACGGCCCCCGUGGGGACGGGAGGCAUCUUGCCUUGGGGCUUCAAUCUUCUCUCUCACUGGGCUGUGGGGAGCAGAGCAUGGCUAGCUCUUUCCCCAUUAAUUGGACAAACAUGUAUUGAGUUCCUCCUGUGGGCUGUGGGUCAUGCUAGGUCCUGGGGCAUAGAAGAAGGAACGAGAAAUUAAAAGAAGGUGUUCUGGAAGGAUGUAGAACAGGCAGCUCCCCUGGGAUGUGGCUGCUGGAGGGAAGCUGCUUCCCCUCUUGCUCCUCUGGGGCCCAGCAAAUCUCACUGUGGUGUGCAGCAGAGCCGUGACCACUAACCCUAUCUAUCACCCAGAGGGACUUCCUCCUCCUCCCCAAACAGGAAGGUGUGCACAGCAGGCCCAGGACCUCAGAUCCUAUCCCUGCCUCCAAGGUGGCCUCGUCAACUAGGACAGCUGCACCUAGCGACGGUAACCCCAGCAGCUAACCGCCUGAGGUCCUAGACCCUCCUCUGCCU
This 1992-nucleotide long non-coding RNA is filed under the name Marmota monax (woodchuck). The record is from RNAcentral. Lineage: Eukaryota; Metazoa; Chordata; Mammalia; Rodentia; Sciuridae.